Molecule: long non-coding RNA, 2125 nt
Filed under: Cucumis sativus (cucumber)
Lineage: Eukaryota; Viridiplantae; Streptophyta; Magnoliopsida; Cucurbitales; Cucurbitaceae
Description: long non-coding RNA (CSAT_LNC000647)
Source: RNAcentral
GGCACCCUUGUUGUGCUUCUUCUUGGUGUCCUUUGUUUUUGCUGCAACAUUGUGCAAUGCCGAUGUAAAGUCGGUCGAGGUCGUCGGUGUUGGUGAAUGUGCUGAUUGCAAAGAGAGUAACAUAAAAACUAGCCAUGCUUUGUCAGGUUCAUGCCAUCUUUUUUCUGUUUUAUGAUUAUGGUGAAAGCUAUUUCUUAGGAGAGUUUAAUUUCUCUUUUUGUUUUAGCUUUACAAGUGAUGAAAACAUGUCUUUUAUAGUAUAGGCACUACUCAUGAGAAUGGAUGGGUUGAUUACUUAGUUUAUUUCAUUUUGGCCUCCAUUGACUUUCUGUUUUAAUCAUUCAACUUUAAAUGUUUUGUUUUAGUAUCUAAAUAUUGUGUAGUCACUGUCUUUGGGUUUUCAUUAAUAUUUGAUCUAUACAAUCUAAACCUCUUUUAAAAUCCAAUGUUAAACCUACUUCAACAAGCUUUAGGCAUCUUUGUAACAAACAUCUACCUCUCAGAUUCUCAUCAAUUAAGCGACACAAAAUACUUGUCUAAAUGAAAAAAGUUUUUGCUAGUGACACUGGAUGGGUGGAGGGCAUAUCGUCAAAGACCGCCAAAUUGCCAAUUGACCCAAAGACUUAAAUUGAUGGAUGAAAAAUAUCAAAUUAUACCUCUAAACUUAAAGAGUUGUAUUAAUUUAAAUUAUGAAAUAAUUAUUGUAUCAACUAAACAUCUAAACUAUGGUAGAUGAAUAAAUUUAGAUUUUUAGACUUCGAAGAUCAUACAUUACUCAAAUUGUCCAUGUUAUAAACUGAUGUUUGAAUAAGUGCACACAUUUGAAAAUUAUAUCUAACACUCUACCAAAAGGCAAUCGUGCUGAUACGAAAUGUACACUUUUUACUAUGUGCAGGACUGAAAGUAGCCAUAGAUUGCAAAUCAAGUGAUGGGAACUUCAAAACAAGAGGGAUUGGAGAGUUGAAUGAAGAAGGAAAGUUCACUGUAUUGCUGCCUAAUGCCAUUGUGGAAGAUGGAAAGUUGAAGGAAGAAUGUUAUGCACAACUUUAUAGUGCAGCAGCCAACCCUUGCCCUACUCAUGAUGACCUUCAAUCCUCUAAGAUUGUUUUACUAUCCAAAUCAGAUGAGAAACACACUUUUGGGUUACCUGGUAAAAUCAAGAUUUCACCAGGAACUUGUACAUCAGCUUUCCUUUGGCCAUUUUUCAAGUACCCUCCUCUUACCAAGUUCCCUCAAUUUCCUUUGCCACUCCCUCUUAUACCUGACUUUCAUCAUCCACAUUUGAAGCAUUUUGUUCCCCCAUUCUCCUUCCCUCCAUUGCCACCUAAAGUCUUCUCUCCAUUUCCACCUAAAGAGUUCCCACCAACGCCGGUGUAUGAAAAGCCACUUCCACCACCUGUUCCAGUUUAUGAAAAACCUGUUCCACCACCUACACCGGUAUAUGAAAAGCCACUUCCACCACCUGUUCCUGUUUAUGAAAAACCUCUUCCCCCACCUACACCGGUCUAUGAAAAACCACUUCCACCGCCUACUCCAGUUUAUGAAAAACCUCAUCCUCCGCCUACACCUGUCUAUGAAAAGCCACUUCCACCGCCUGUUCCUGUUUAUGAAAAACCUCUUCCCCCACCUACACCGGUCUAUGAAAAACCACUUCCACCGCCUACUCCAGUUUAUGAAAAACCUCAUCCUCCGCCUACACCUGUCUAUGAAAAGCCACUUCCACCGCCUGUUCCUGUGUAUGUAAAGCCUAUUCCUCCACCUACUCCGAUCUAUGAAAAGCCACUUCCACCUCCUGUUCCGGUUUAUAAAAAACCUGUUCCUCCACCUACACCAGUCUAUGAAAAGCCACAUCCACCGCCUGUUUAUGAAAAGCCACUUCCACCUCCUGUGUAUGUAAAACCUAAGCCUCCACCAGUGCCAAUCUACAAAAAGCCACUUCCACCACCGGUUCCUGUUUACAAAAAACCUUGUCCUCCCCCUGUUCCUAUUUACAAGAAACCUAAUCCUCCACCAGUAUAUGAGAAGCCACUUCCACCACCAGUUCCUGUUUAUAAGAAACCUAAUCCUCCACCAGUGCCAGUCUACAAGAAGCCUCUUCCACCUCCUGUUCCCAUAUAUAAGAAAC